AUUGAACGCUGGCGGCAGGCCUAACACAUGCAAGUCGAGCGGAUGAAGGGAGCUUGCUCCUGGAUUCAGCGGCGGACGGGCGAGUAAUGCCUAGGAAUCUGCCUGGUAGUGGGGGAUAACGUCCGGAAACGGGCGCUAAUACCGCAUACGUCCUGAGGGAGAAAGUGGGGGAUCUUCGGACCUCACGCUAUCAGAUGAGCCUAGGUCGGAUUAGCUAGUUGGUGGGGUAAAGGCCUACCAAGGCGACGAUCCGUAACUGAUCUGAGAGGGUGAUCAGUCACACUGGAACUGAGACACGGUCCAGACUCCUACGGGAGGCAGCAGUAGGGAAUAUUGGACAAUGGGCGAAAGCCUGAUCCAGCCAUGCCGCGUGUGUGAAGAAGGUCUUCGGAUUGUAAAGCACUUUAAGUAGGGAGGAAGAGCAGUAAAUUAAUACCUUCCUGUUUUGACGUUACCAAAAGAGUAAGCACCGGCUAACUUCGUG
Molecule: ribosomal RNA, 484 nt
Filed under: uncultured bacterium
Lineage: Bacteria
Description: partial 16S ribosomal RNA
Rfam family: Bacterial small subunit ribosomal RNA
Source: RNAcentral